RNAcentral lists this ribosomal RNA (1545 nucleotides) under Triticum aestivum (bread wheat). RNAcentral's name for it is "partial small subunit ribosomal RNA". The record is from RNAcentral. Lineage: Eukaryota; Viridiplantae; Streptophyta; Magnoliopsida; Poales; Poaceae.
AUGGCAUGGAGGCCUAACAUGUUCUUCAAUACUCACCCCAAAAAGUUGGGUCGAUUUCAUACAGGUCAGGAUAGUACUAUAGCAUCUGCUCUCAAAGGGCGCCAGGCUCGCCGGAAGGGCUUGUGUCGGGGAACCUCCAUGAUGUGGCCCGAGACGGGCCCUUCCGGGCUAUCCUUGUACUCUCCGAAAGCACAUGUUGUGUGGGACGCACUAUCCGCGUGGAGCAUUGGGCCGCCACCGCCGACGACAGAAGGUGCCAGUAAAAUGGAAACUACUGUUAAUAGUGCUGCUAAUGGAGAAAAACACGUCUCCGAAAUGACCGAUGAGGAAAUCUUGAGGAAACACGGCCAUAUGAAGUUAGUGUGCUCGCCGUUGAGGCUCGCCAAAAUUUGGUACUGGGAGCACCUGCAUUCCGGCAAAUUGAUGUAUACUCCUAUACCUCCACUAUUGGUCGCACGAUGGGAUGAAUGCACGUGCGUAAUAAGAGCAGAAGCUUACACCUCAGGAGGUCUUCAUAAAGGACUGGUUGUGAUGGAAAUUUGUGCUCGACAACCAGAGGCCAACAAUAGAAAGGAUCCAGGAAGCCAAAAAUGUGUACGUGUGGAUGAAGGUGGAAAUGAUAGUUGUAGCCCUGAAUGCAAAAAGAAGAUAGGCUGGCAGUUAAUGGAAUUUCAGCAUAGAUUUGACGCGAAAUUCCUCACCUUGAGCGAAGAGUUAAUCGACAUUAAGAGUAAAUCUGGCAGUAAUCCUAGGCUCUCGCUGCUCGAGGACGAAAUUAAGGACUUAAGGAGGGACCUGAAGGAAUUAAAAAACCAAAGUAAAGUCAGCCAACAAUCCGAGUCACAGAAAGCAGGCGUCGAGGAACAAGUCAAUGUGUGCAGUGAUCCCUUCAUGGCGACUCCUAAGUUCGAUGCAUCCAUGCCACGUUAUUAUGGCGACGCCGGAAGGAGUCCCCCAAACCAUAAUUGUUACCUUAUAUACAUUAUUCCGUGGAAUGAGUCCUCUUUGACUUUACGGCAGGUCCACAUCCCGUUGAAUGUGAAUGAUAACCACUGGAUGGCAAUGGUGUUCAAUUCCGACAAAGAAGAGAUUCAAAUCCUAAACUCCUUGAAAAAUCAAUUUGACGAGUCCAAGGAAACUGCUCUUGUGGAGGCGAUUCAGGCCUGCAUGGACGAAGCGGUGAAGGAUGGCUUGGUAACACCAGCUAAGCCCAUCAAAUUUACCGACUGGGAAGUAGUACGCUAUGACGACAUACCGCAACAGAAUGACGGGCAUUCAUGUGCGUUUUUUACACUGAAGUACAUGUUGACAUGGAACAGUGAAGUAUUUACCGACAAAGUGGAGCAGUCACAGAUAGAUAUAUUUAGCUGGAAAAUAGUUUCAAGCUUGCUGCGUUCAGAUUGCAACAGUCUUCACAUGGGAACAUACAAGUACCCCAUAACGGCGAAGAUGUAUGAAGCCCACGUUGCAUCGCAACCUAUGAAUUCACAAGACGAUGUCCAAGAAAUUAUCGGUACUGUUGGGUGCAAGAUAUCAGACACGUAG